This 466-nucleotide ribosomal RNA is filed under the name uncultured bacterium. RNAcentral describes it as "partial 16S ribosomal RNA". It matches the Rfam family "Bacterial small subunit ribosomal RNA", at positions 28 to 507 of the family's 1533-position model. The record is from RNAcentral.
GAUGAACGCUGGCGGCGUGCUUAACACAUGCAAGUCGAACGGAAAGGCUCCUGCUUGCAGGGGUACUCGAGUGGCGAACGGGUGAGUAACACGUGGGUGAUCUGCCCUGCACUUCGGGAUAAGCCUGGGAAACUGGGUCUAAUACCGGAUAGGACGAUGGUUUGGAUGCCAUUGUGGAAAGUUUUUUCGGUGUGGGAUGAGCUCGCGGCCUAUCAGCUUGUUGGUGGGGUAAUGGCCUACGAAGGCGUCGACGGGUAGCCGGCCUGAGAGGGUGUACGGCCACAUUGGGACUGAGGUACGGCCCAGACUCCUACGGGAGGCAGCAGUGGGGAAUAUUGCACAAUGGGCGCAAGCCUGAUGCAGCGACGCCGCGUGGGGGAUGACGGCCUUCGGGUUGUAAACUCCUUUCGCUAGGGACGAAGCGCAAGUGACGGUACCUGGAGAAGAAGCACCGGCUAACUACGUG